AGUGAACGCUGGCGGUAGGCCUAACACAUGCAAGUCGAACGGCAGCACAGUAAGAGCUUGCUCUUACGGGUGGCGAGUGGCGGACGGGUGAGGAAUACAUCGGAAUCUACUUUUUCGUGGGGGAUAACGUAGGGAAACUUACGCUAAUACCGCAUACGACCUACGGGUGAAAGCAGGGGAUCUUCGGACCUUGCGCGAUUGAAUGAGCCGAUGUCGGAUUAGCUAGUUGGCGGGGUAAAGGCCCACCAAGGCGAAGAUCCGUAGCUGGUCUGAGAGGAUGAUCAGCCACACUGGAACUGAGACACGGUCCAGACUCCUACGGGAGGCAGCAGUGGGGAAUAUUGGACAAUGCGCGCAAGCCUGAUCCAGCCAUACCGCGUGGGUGAAGAAGGCCUUCGGGUUGUAAAGCCCUUUUGUUGGGAAAGAAAAGCAGCAGGUUAAUACCCCGCUGUUCUGACGGUACCCAAAGAAUAAGCACCGGCUAACUUCGUG
RNAcentral lists this ribosomal RNA (492 nucleotides) under uncultured bacterium. Its description in RNAcentral is "partial 16S ribosomal RNA". It matches the Rfam family "Bacterial small subunit ribosomal RNA", at positions 29 to 507 of the family's 1533-position model. The record is from RNAcentral.